UACAGAGGGUGCAAGCGUUAAUCGGAAUUACUGGGCGUAAAGCGUGCGUAGACGGUUAUGUAAGUCGGGUGUGAAAGCCCCGGGCUCAACCUGGGAAUGCCAUUCGAGACUGCAUAGCUAGGGUGUGGAAGAGGGAAGCGGAAUUUCCGGUGUAGCGGUGAAAUGCGUAGAUAUCGGAAGGAACACCAGUGGCGAAAGCGGCUUCCUGGUCCAGCACCGACGUUCAGGCACGAAAGCGUGGGGAGCGAACAGG
RNAcentral lists this ribosomal RNA (253 nucleotides) under uncultured bacterium. RNAcentral describes it as "partial 16S ribosomal RNA". It matches the Rfam family "Bacterial small subunit ribosomal RNA", at positions 524 to 776 of the family's 1533-position model. The record is from RNAcentral.